Molecule: ribosomal RNA, 1172 nt
Filed under: 'Rosa alba' phyllody phytoplasma
Lineage: Bacteria; Bacillati; Mycoplasmatota; Mollicutes; Acholeplasmatales; Acholeplasmataceae
Description: bacterial SSU rRNA
Rfam family: Bacterial small subunit ribosomal RNA
Source: RNAcentral
AGGCAUCUUCUUGUUUUUAAAAGACCUAGCAAUAGGUAUGCUUAGGGAGGAGCUUGCGUCACAUUAGUUAGUUGGUGGGGUAAAGGCCUACCAAGACUAUGAUGUGUAGCCGGGCUGAGAGGUUGAACGGCCACAUUGGGACUGAGACACGGCCCAAACUCCUACGGGAGGCAGCAGUAGGGAAUUUUCGGCAAUGGAGGAAACUCUGACCGAGCAACGCCGCGUGAACGAUGAAGUAUUUCGGUACGUAAAGUUCUUUUAUUAGGGAAGAAUAAAUGAUGGAAAAAUCAUUCUGACGGUACCUAAUGAAUAAGCCCCGGCUAACUAUGUGCCAGCAGCCGCGGUAAUACAUAGGGGGCAAGCGUUAUCCGGAAUUAUUGGGCGUAAAGGGUGCGUAGGCGGUUAAAUAAGUUUAUGGUCUAAGUGCAAUGCUCAACAUUGUGAUGCUAUAAAAACUGUUAAGCUAGAGUAAGAUAGAGGCAAGUGGAGUUCCAUGUGUAGUGGUAAAAUGCGUAAAUAUAUGGAGGAACACCAGUAGCGUAGGCGGCUUGCUGGGUCUUUACUGACGCUGAGGCACGAAAGCGUGGGGAGCAAACAGGAUUAGAUACCCUGGUAGUCCACGCCGUAAACGAUGAGUACUAAACGUUGGGUAAAACCAGUGUUGAAGUUAACACAUUAAGUACUCCGCCUGAGUAGUACGUACGCAAGUAUGAAACUUAAAGGAAUUGACGGGACUCCGCACAAGCGGUGGAUCAUGUUGUUUAAUUUGAAGGUACCCGAAAAACCUCACCAGGUCUUGACAUGCUUUUGCAAAGCUGUAGAAACACAGUGGAGGUUAUCAGUUGCACAGGUGGUGCAUGGUUGUCGUCAGCUCGUGUCGUGAGAUGUUGGGUUAAGUCCCGCAACGAGCGCAACCCUUAUUGUUAGUUACCAGCACGUAAUGGUGGGGACUUUAGCAAGACUGCCAGUGAUAAAUUGGAGGAAGGUGGGGACGACGUCAAAUCAUCAUGCCCCUUAUGACCUGGGCUACAAACGUGAUACAAUGGCUGUUACAAAGGGUAGCUGAAGCGCAAGUUUUUGGCGAAUCUCAAAAAAACAGUCUCAGUUCGGAUUGAAAUCUGCAACUCGACUUCAUGAAGUUGGAAUCGCUAGUAAUCGCGAAUCAGCAUGUC